This 597-nucleotide precursor RNA is filed under the name Oryza rufipogon (brownbeard rice). Its description in RNAcentral is "putative precursor microRNA R395ab". The stretch from base 516 to 597 matches the Rfam family "mir-395 microRNA precursor family". Lineage: Eukaryota; Viridiplantae; Streptophyta; Magnoliopsida; Poales; Poaceae. The record is from RNAcentral.
UUUUUUGCUCCACAUAUGCAUGCUUUCUACGAUUCGGAGAUCAGUGCAGCCCAAAGAUCACAUUGGAUUCUCCUCACUACACUCCAUCUUCUAACCUAGUCUGCAUCACGGCUAGGUGCAUCCGUUGCCAAGUUCAUCCAAUAUAUGCCAACCGCAUUGCAAGGACGACCAUAUGCACACACACACCACAGUCCACAGGAGACAGAUAGCUAGCUAGCUUACUCUUUAGUCAUACAUACACUUAUAAAUAGCCACCGGCUCUGUGCUCAUCAGCAAGGCAGAUUAAACAAGUGAAGUGGUCCACAUCAAAAAUGAAGUAAUCAGGUCUAGGGAGUCAAAAUUUGGUUGGGCCUCAUUGCAUUGCACUGUUACAUAACUGUGAUCAUGGGGCCAAAAGCUAGCUAUGUAUAGUGAAGUGCUUGGGGGAACUCCAGUUGACACUCAGCAUUUUCAAGUUAGGUAUGUAAGUGCUUGUACUUUAUGAAUUUGUAAGUGACAGAGAAUGAUUAGGUUUGGAGUCCCUAGGAGUUCCUUUCAAGCACUUUACGACACACUGUAUUGAGAGUUGUCGUGAAGUGUUUGGGGGAACUCUUAGUG